Long non-coding RNA from Harpia harpyja (harpy eagle), 735 nucleotides. RefSeq lists it as uncharacterized. Lineage: Eukaryota; Metazoa; Chordata; Aves; Accipitriformes; Accipitridae. The transcript has 3 exons. The record is from RefSeq and is a predicted model, not a curated record.
AGCUGGAAAAGGCAGAAACGGGGGAUGCUGAAGCACAGCUCACUUCUCCUCACUGCUCCCGGACAGCUCUCUGACUGCUGCUGCUGCGCUUCGUACAGCCGCACGCCAGGACCCCCUCGCCAGCUCCCCGAUGCGGGUCCUGCCUUUGGGUCUGCAUAGCCAUGGCACAGACUGAAGCCUCCUUCACGGAUGAUUAAACUUUGUAUUUUCUGUUGUUGUGGAAAAGCAUUGAGAGGCACAAGCAGAGAGCGCUGAAUGGUUCUACAACUUUGCAGUGCUUCCUGCUGUGUCCUGGACCGCUGCCAGCUGUCCUGAUGUCAACCGGCAAAGGACAAAACCAGCCCAGCAAUAAAGAAACUCGCCAAGAAGCAAUGCUUUGCAGCCUCGGCAGACAGCGCAUCCUCCCUUUCUUCAGAAUGCCAGCAAAGAUGUCCUCUGCAGGUAGAGUUCUCCAUACUGGAAAUAUUAGAAUUCAGUCAUUUAGUUAACUUUCUAUUAUUGGGCAUAAAAUAAGAAAACCAAAAUAAACUGUUUUUUGACAGUCCUUCCAACCAACAUCUCUGGUUGCAAUGCUUGGCAGAAUUUUUAUGUUUAGAGAUUGAUAUACUGGUGAGUAGUUAAUUGACCUAAUUUUCUUAAACUGCCCCUUCCCAAAUAAAAGCUCUUGGGGGCACUGUUUCAUUAUGAAAAGAAAGGAGAAAAGCUGAGAAAAAGAUGCUUCUGUUCUCAGAAUUU